Molecule: long non-coding RNA, 2174 nt
Organism: Oreochromis aureus
Lineage: Eukaryota; Metazoa; Chordata; Actinopteri; Cichliformes; Cichlidae
Source: Ensembl
CAAACAUUCUGAGAAUAAUCUUUGUAAAAUAAUUAUUACAUUAUUAAAACUGGUUGAGUUGUUGAAUCGUUACUGAAAGCUGUCCGGAUAGAGUGAUCAGAAAAGGAUACAGCUGUUGUUUCUCCCCGGACGCGAUAUGUGGCUGCACCGUAACGGUCUCAACAUCUUCAACCUCAAAACCGUGAAAAAACAAACAAAGAAAAACAUGUUUUGCUGGACGAGCAGCAGCGUGGGCUCGGAGCCGCUCGACGGCGUCGCUAACAUGUCUAAGAGCGACAUACUGAGAGGAAUCAUCACUGAGAAACUGAGCACAGCCGCCCGGGAGAUCUUAGCGGUGGUGGAGAGGACGAUAGCUGACUACGAGGAGGAGGUCGCGGGCUUCAGACAGGAGAUCGACCGGCAGAGGAGACUGCUGGAGCUUCUGCAGCCUCGGGUCAAGCUUGAGAGAAGAGACAUUCUCUGUCCAGAUGUGAAGGACACUGUGAACUCAGGUCUCCCGGUGUACGAUAAUGUGGACGAGGAGGGGGUGGAGAUGCCAUUUGUGCAACCAGACACAAGCUCCACACAGCAUGAAGAACAUCUUAAGGAACCAGAUCAUCAAAUACCUAUGCACAUAUCAAUUUGGAAUUCUGCCUCAAAGCCAGAAUUACAGGAAUGCACCACGUGUUGCAGAAGACUUUUUCACUGCCCUCUGUGCCCCACUUUCAGCCCUACUGUCAGGGCAGUGAUUGAGGAGCAUAUAAAUGGACACAUUAAAAAUGCUUUGCCUUUUAAAGAUAAAAUGAUAUGCCGGUGCAGACUGCCAUGUAGGACAACAGGACACUUUCACUGUCCUGUCUGUAACAUGACAAUCAUACGGCGUGGGGAUAUGGCAAGGCAUUUAUUGUCAUGUCAGCAUUCUUCAAUAGCUAGUCAGCCACCACUAUCAGGACUGCUCCCCACUGCACUCUCCAAGGAGCCCCGUCGCCCUCUCAUUGUCUUCUCUCCAGCAUCUAAACCAUUUUCUGAGUCUUCGGUAGAACAUGCUUAUGCUCUACCCUCUGUGCUAAAUAAAGUCCAUGAAAAUGAAAUGCCCUCACUGUGGUCUUAGUCUUCUUUAAAAAAAAAAAAGGCCUCAAGGCUCACAUGAUGAGGAGGCAUUCAAACAGAUCAUUCAAACAGAUCAAUAGAUGUUUGCCUGGCCUGGCAUCUGCAGUAUUUUUGUGUAGAGGGACUUCUUCCUCUUUGUUUUUCAGUUUGCAGAGGACAUGGAGCUCUUUUUAAAUGUGCUGACGAGCAGGGACUAUGGGUCAAUGCGAUGUUUGACAUUUAAUGGAGAGAUGAAGGAACUGGCUGUUUGGGUUUUGUUUUUUGUUUUUUUUAAUGUGUUGUUAGGUUGUUGUUUUGUUUUUGUUUUUUUUCAGUGUACAGAAUUCCAAUUAAAGUUAUUUCAAAAUGUUGUUUACUUGUUUCCAUGUCCAUACUUACAGUAAAACAUUACAGUGUAAAUGUAACAGCAUUGUUUUAUAUUGUUUUAUUGUUUUAUACUUGAAACUUCAAAUUUAAAAGCUUAGAGUUGCUAUUAACAUUAAUGUAUUACCCUGUAAUCAAUAACAUUUUUAUACAUUUUAUGCAUUAAGCCUCUGGGCUUUGUGCUGGCCAUUUGUAGCCACUUCACUUUUAUUUAUUUAUUUAUUACCAUUUUUGCAUCAAAUAUUACAUAGACUGCAGUGAAUUUAUUGAGCUUUGAGGUUCCCAGUCAAACGUAGCUUUGAAGCACGUGCUAAAAGAACUCUUGUACUUUUCAUAACAAGAUACCAUAUGCAAAAUAUUAACACUCAAAAAAAAUCAUAGGACAGUUCAAAGCUGCAGCACAAACAGCAAAAAAUACUGUUUGUAUAUGUGUCGGGGAGUUUAUGCAGGUGCACAAAGGACUACCGCUUUAAGUAAGUCUAACAGCUUCUUUCCAUCUUUUCUUUCUGAAAAGAUGGAAAGAAGAGCAUCACUGCUCUUUUCUACAAUCUCCCGGAUGUCUUGGAAUACAUUGCCUUUGUCCAAUGGAAACCGCUUCACAGUAGUAGCAGUCCUCUAAAACCUACAAAUGAGUAAUGAUCCUGGAAGAAAUGGGGCACACACUAGUGACUAAUAUAAAAUAGAUGAAGUAUACAAGAGAAUAGAACAAGAACACAAAUAGC